RNAcentral lists this ribosomal RNA (250 nucleotides) under uncultured bacterium. Its description in RNAcentral is "partial 16S ribosomal RNA". It matches the Rfam family "Bacterial small subunit ribosomal RNA", at positions 524 to 773 of the family's 1533-position model. The record is from RNAcentral.
UACGUAGGUGGCAAGCGUUGUCCGGAUUUAUUGGGCGUAAAGCGAGUGCAGGCGGUUCAAUAAGUCUAAUGUGAAAGCCUUCGGCUUAACCGGAGAAUUGCAUCGGAAACUGUUGAACUUGAGUGCAGAAGAGGAGAGUGGAACUCCAUGUGUAGCGGUGGAAUGCGUAGAUAUAUGGAAGAACACCAGUGGCGAAGGCGGCUCUCUGGUCUGUAACUGACGCUGAGGCUCGAAAGCAUGGGUAGCGAAC